CACCGGCACCUCGAGUGGUAGCCACUAUUAUUGGGCCUAAAGCAUCCGUAGCCUGUUCUAUAAGUUUCCGGUUAAAUCCAUACGCUCAACGUAUGGGCUGCCGGAAAUACUGCAGAACUAGGGAGUGGGAGAGGUAGACGGUACUCGAUAGGAAGAGGUAAAAUUCUUUGAUCUAUUGAUGACCACCUGUGGCGAAGGCGGUCUACCAGAACACGUUCGACGGUGAGGGAUGAAAGCUGGGGGAGCAAACCGG
This 253-nucleotide ribosomal RNA is filed under the name uncultured archaeon. RNAcentral describes it as "partial 16S ribosomal RNA". It matches the Rfam family "Archaeal small subunit ribosomal RNA", at positions 474 to 727 of the family's 1478-position model. The record is from RNAcentral.